CGAACCGGGGGAACUGAAACAUCUAAGUACCCCGAGGAAAAGAAAUCAACCGAGAUUCCCCCAGUAGCGGCGAGCGAACGGGGAGCAGCCCAGAGCCUGAAUCAGUAUGUGUGUUAGUGGAAGCGUCUGGAAAGGCGCGCGAUACAGGGUGACAGCCCCGUACACAAAAAUGCACAUGCUGUGAGCUCGAUGAGUAGGGCGGGACACGUGGUAUCCUGUCUGAAUAUGGGGGGACCAUCCUCCAAGGCUAAAUACUCCUGACUGACCGAUAGUGAACCAGUACCGUGAGGGAAAGGCGAAAAGAACCCCGGCGAGGGGAGUGAAAAAGAACCUGAAACCGUGUACGUACAAGCAGUGGGAGCACGCUUAGGCGUGUGACUGCGUACCUUUUGUAUAAUGGGUCAGCGACUUAUAUUCUGUAGCAAGGUUAACCGAAUAGGGGAGCCGAAGGGAAACCGAGUCUUAACUGGGCGUUAAGUUGCAGGGUAUAGACCCGAAACCCGGUGAUCUAGCCAUGGGCAGGUUGAAGGUUGGGUAACACUAACUGGAGGACCGAACCGACUAAUGUUGAAAAAUUAGCGGAUGACUUGUGGCUGGGGGUGAAAGGCCAAUCAAACCGGGAGAUAGCUGGUUCUCCCCGAAAGCUAUUUAGGUAGCGCCUCGUGAAUUCAUCUCCGGGGGUAGAGCACUGUUUCGGCAAGGGGGUCAUCCCGACUUACCAACCCGAUGCAAACUGCGAAUACCGGAGAAUGUUAUCACGGGAGACACACGGCGGGUGCUAACGUCCGUCGUGAAGAGGGAAACAACCCAGACCGCCAGCUAAGGUCCCAAAGUCAUGGUUAAGUGGGAAACGAUGUGGGAAGGCCCAGACAGCCAGGAUGUUGGCUUAGAAGCAGCCAUCAUUUAAAGAAAGCGUAAUAGCUCACUGGUCGAGUCGGCCUGCGCGGAAGAUGUAACGGGGCUAAACCAUGCACCGAAGCUGCGGCAGCGACGCUGAUGCGUUGUUGGGUAGGGGAGCGUUCUGUAAGCCUGCGAAGGUGUGCUGUGAGGCAUGCUGGAGGUAUCAGAAGUGCGAAUGCUGACAUAAGUAACGAUAAAGCGGGUGAAAAGCCCGCUCGCCGGAAGACCAAGGGUUCCUGUCCAACGUUAAUCGGGGCAGGGUGAGUCGACCCCUAAGGCGAGGCCGAAAGGCGUAGUCGAUGGGAAACAGGUUAAUAUUCCUGUACUUGGUGUUACUGCGAAGGGGGGACGGAGAAGGCUAUGUUGGCCGGGCGACGGUUGUCCCGGUUUAAGCGUGUAGGCUGGUUUUCCAGGCAAAUCCGGAAAAUCAAGGCUGAGGCGUGAUGACGAGGCACU
RNAcentral lists this ribosomal RNA (1356 nucleotides) under Escherichia coli. RNAcentral's name for it is "partial 23S ribosomal RNA". It matches the Rfam family "Bacterial large subunit ribosomal RNA", at positions 180 to 1578 of the family's 2925-position model. Lineage: Bacteria; Pseudomonadati; Pseudomonadota; Gammaproteobacteria; Enterobacterales; Enterobacteriaceae. The record is from RNAcentral.